CCUACGGGGGGCUGCAGUGGGGAAUAUUGGACAAUGGGGGCAACCCUGAUCCAGCCAUGCCACGUGUGUGAAGAAGGCCCUCGGGUUGUAAAGCACUUUCAGUGAGGAAGAACGCCUGGUGGUUAAUACCCAUCAGGAAAGACAUCACUCACAGAAGAAGCACCGGCUAACUCCGUGCCAGCAGCCGCGGUAAUACGGAGGGUGCGAGCGUUAAUCGGAAUUACUGGGCGUAAAGCGCGCGUAGGUGGCUUGAUAAGCCGGUUGUGAAAGCCCCGGGCUCAACCUGGGAACGGCAUCCGGAACUGUCAAGCUAGAGUGCAGGAGAGGAAGGUAGAAUUCCCGGUGUAGCGGUGAAAUGCGUAGAGAUCGGGAGGAAUACCAGUGGCGAAGGCGGCCUUCUGGACUGACACUGACACUGAGGUGCGAAAGCGUGGGUAGCAAACAGGAUUAAAUACCCGGGUAGUC
RNAcentral lists this ribosomal RNA (465 nucleotides) under Vreelandella stevensii. RNAcentral's name for it is "partial 16S ribosomal RNA". It matches the Rfam family "Bacterial small subunit ribosomal RNA", at positions 338 to 795 of the family's 1533-position model. The record is from RNAcentral. Lineage: Bacteria; Pseudomonadati; Pseudomonadota; Gammaproteobacteria; Oceanospirillales; Halomonadaceae.